Molecule: long non-coding RNA, 3293 nt
Organism: Serinus canaria (Common canary)
Lineage: Eukaryota; Metazoa; Chordata; Aves; Passeriformes; Fringillidae
Exons: 3
Source: RefSeq, a predicted model, not a curated record
GCAGCCCGGCCGGAACCGGCCCCGCGCGCGGGCGGGCUCCGCUGCUCGGGAACUCGGGGCCUUCCGCAGAGCCCUGUCAAGCCUGAAGUGCCUGGGCACAAGAUAGCGGAGUUUUGGUCUCAGUCUUGUGCAGCUGCUCCAGCUCCCUCGUCCUUUGUGUCCUUGGAAGCUGGGGAUGAUGGAAGCUUUUUAGAGCAAAGCCUAGCCGAAUGGGACUGACUUUUUUUCUGUGACAGCUUGCACUAGGCCCCAAAUCCCCCUCUAAGUGGAUUUGAGCCUGUCUUGUAUCCAGCAUGCAGACUACAAGCAGAACCCAGCUCAGGAGGUUCUGAAGAGGCUUUUGAAGAGACUACUUCAUUCAAAAAGACAAGAAUUCCCUCACAAAAUAAAAGCUUUCUGCAAAACAGAACAGAGACAACAAAGAAACAGUUUUUACAGCUCUGGGAAGCUGCCACAAGCACCUCAGCAGUAAAACUACUAAUAAAAUUCAGUGUGGAUAACUACAAUAUAAUCAAUCAUGGAAAACCAUACAGCUGGCCUGCAGAGGAACGGGACACAUAAUAUUUUAGGUCCUGUUGAGAAAGGAAUUCACAGGCUAUGUCAAUACUGGAUUCAAAGCAGAUCCUAAGAAAGAUUUAGUGUUCAAAAGUGAGCACGCUUCUUACACAGUCAAGCCCACACCAAUCUGGAUUCUCCAGGGAAGGGUGGAAGAAUCACCAUUCUUAACACAUUGUCUGCCUGCUGCCAGCCCAUUAUCAAGUAACUCUGGGGAUCUGUGUGCAGGGUGAAAUGAGUCACUUCAUCUCAGUGUCAGGAAAUGGCUGUCGCCUAUGCUGGCCGGGCCAUCAAAAAAAAAAAAAGUUCUGCUUUUUCCACCUCACUUUUGUCUGUUCAUUCCCAUUCUCCUGGCACAAGCAUUGCUGUGGCCAUACCAUAAAUCUUGAAAAUAGAUCUGCCUCAAAACCAACCACUUCUUCAGGAUUAAUUAAUCCUGACCAUUUCCCUAUUUCAAUCCACUAUACAUCUACACAGUGAGCUGGGCCAGUAUGAAUGAGGAGACAAAAGGAUAAGAAUAAGCAGCUGAGGGAAGGUCUGCUUCUUUCAGAGGUGAUGCGAGCUCUGCAGCUGAAGGAAUUAAGUAGGCUCAUAAACCAUGUAAUGAUAUACUAACUCUUCCUCUCUUCAUCCCCACUGAACCAGAGGCACUGAUCCCCUGCCUCUGCUUUUGAUUUAGGAGAGGCAUCUCUAUGACCAGUGGUGAGCAUAUUCACAGAACUAAGCUUGCAGGAAAACAUCCACCUUUUGUUUGGAUUAAUGUUUUGGUUACUCAUCCUGGGGACAGAGGAGCACCAAUGGCACCUGAAGAGAAGUAGAAAGGCCAUCCUUUUCAUCAGUGCUAUUAUCUUUGAUAUUUUUAAAAUAAUCAGAUUUAAAAAAAAGAAAAAGUACCUAUUAUCUGCAAAAAAAAUACAAUAACUAACAGAGAAAUUACUUGCAUAUCACCCUCUGUGGAAGAAGGGUAAGGAAGAAUAUGACUUUGUUGACACUGCCAAGAUGGCUCAACAGCAUCCUACAAGUGCCACUCAACAAAAGUAGAUAAGAGGAAGUUUAAAAACAGAAAAACAAACACUGUCACAUGAAUUUUUGUCAAACUGUGAAAUUCAUUAUCAGUGUUGAGAACACAAAGAAGAUAAAAUGGGUUAAAAGGGGAUCAGGCAGUGAAACCGGAAGUAGAACAGCCAAUAGCUAUUAAACCUGGCCACAGAAAUACUAACUGGGAGAAGGUGGGAAGUAUAUGUCCGUGAAUAGGUCACUCCAUGCAGGUUGAUUUCCUCCCCUCUUCUUUUUCCAAGCAUUUACUACCAAUCAAUAUCACCAACAGUAACUUUAAAAGGCAGGUCUUAUGCCAGGUAUGUAUUAAAAUUAGUUCAUAACAUUUUCCAUUUUAGACUUUGCUUGAAAGCAUUUGAAAAUGCAGAAGCUUUUUUCUCCUUCUCUAAGGGAGAAUAAGUUAGAAAAAUCAAAGGCAGAAGACUGAAGAAUUGCAAAUAAGUGCUAUCAUGACAAGGAUCCUGGACCUACAGCUCUGAAAAUGAAUACUUUUUCCAUUAUACAAUCAUUUCUUAGUUGGUGUGAACACCUGUAGCUGCGUGCAGAACAAACUUCCUUGUUGACAUGACUGAACCCACAAAGAAAUCUUUCCUUUCCCUGUGAAGAUGAUAUUCCUUCUCUCCUUUAUUCUUGGUAUUGCACCCUUUGCCUCCAUCUGAAACUUGGGUUGACAGGGACAAAAGAUUCUCCACUGAUGGGAUGAAGAACUUGUCCCUCUUUCUGAGGAAAAGUAGCUGUGCUCUAGACCCACUCUGUCACCACCAUCAAAUGAACAAACUCUAAGUGCUCUGCUGACAAGGCAGAUGAAGAAUGUUAUUUCUAAAUCAAGAAGGAUGUUCCCCACUACAAUAAAUACUGCAGAAACUGCCAGAUAAGAAUAUUUUGUGUAGUAACCUGCAGGGCCUGCAUGACAACUUAAAUGACAGUCAUUAGCUUUUGAGGAGUUGCAAUGUAAAUUAAUGAUUUAAGGACAGUCUGGGAUAAAGUCCUUCCCAAGGCUGCAGUCUGUGAAGGCUCAGGCUGUUCAUGAGAUCUCACAUGGAUUGCCUCUUGUGUUUCAGAGCCCUGUUUUGUGCACUGCAUUGUUCUGGCACAAUGGGCUGGAAUUGCAUCUUUUAGCCAUGAAUCCUGUACAAGCCUGAGGAUUUAGAGAAAGAACUGCCCUUGCAUCUUCCCUCAGCUUAGUACAGGGUAAGGACAUUGCCAUCACAUUUGUUCUGGAAAAGCACAACUGGGUCAUAAAAAGAGUAGUUUCCUGUUGGGUCACAGUUUUAGUGCAACUGUGGCCUCAGCAUGUGGUACACUUCUGUGUGCACACUGUAUUGUUUCUGUGUCUGCACCAAACUGUAAUAACUGUGAAGAAAAUAGAUUGCAAUUAAGCAACCAGGGAGACAGCAGAUGGAUGCAGACAGAUGGGAACAAGCCAGGAAGUUAGGAGCCAGGAUUGGUCACAAUGAGAAGCAAUAGUCAAAGUACACUAUCAGCAUAAUGUCAGUGAUAGUUACUAGUGAGUUUUAAGGGUGUAUUGGAAGGCAAGAAAGAAAAUAAUGUUAUAGAUGCUCCUGACACUCCUUUGCAAGGGUAUGGGAAAGAACAGGAGAAAGGUGUUUCUUUGAGAAGGUGACAGGCUGCAUGUGGCAGCUGGCAUUGUGUCCACUGGUGCAGGUGAAGAGAAGUGUGCA